GCAAACUUGGUCAUUUAGAGGAAGUAAAAGUCGUAACAAGGUAACCGUAGGUGAACCUGCGGUUGGAUCAUUACUAAAUUUAACUAAAGGUAUUAGUAUCGAAAGAUCUAGUAUUCUUUAUACAAAUUUGUGAACUUUUUAAAGUCUUUUGGGUUGAAGGUAAAAUGUCAACCCAAAUUGUUAAACAAAUCUAUUUUAAAAUGAGUCUUUAAACAAUUAAAACUUAAUUUAAAAACAACUUUUAACAACGGAUCUCUUGGCUCUCGCAUCGAUGAAGAACGCAGC
This 285-nucleotide unclassified non-coding RNA is filed under the name uncultured fungus. RNAcentral's name for it is "partial contains small subunit ribosomal RNA, internal transcribed spacer 1, and 5.8S ribosomal RNA". The stretch from base 1 to 73 matches the Rfam family "Eukaryotic small subunit ribosomal RNA", at positions 1759 to 1831 of the family's 1831-position model. The record is from RNAcentral. Lineage: Eukaryota; Fungi.